Molecule: ribosomal RNA, 265 nt
Filed under: uncultured archaeon
Lineage: Archaea
Description: partial 16S ribosomal RNA
Rfam family: Archaeal small subunit ribosomal RNA
Source: RNAcentral
AGACGUCUACAUUAGAUACCCGUGUAGUCCUAGCCGUAAACGAUACUCGCUAGGUGUCGGCCACGGUGCGACCGUUGUCGGUGCCGUAGGGAAGCCGUGAAGCGAGCCACCUGGGAAGUACGGCCGCAAGGCUGAAACUUAAAGGAAUUGGCGGGGGAGCACCACAACGGGUGGAGCUUGCGGUUUAAUUGGAUUCAACGCCGGAAAUCUUACCGGGACCGACAGCAACAUGAAGGCCAGGCUGAAGACUUUGCCGGAUUAGCUG